This 508-nucleotide ribosomal RNA is filed under the name uncultured bacterium. Its description in RNAcentral is "bacterial SSU rRNA". It matches the Rfam family "Bacterial small subunit ribosomal RNA", at positions 19 to 518 of the family's 1533-position model. The record is from RNAcentral.
AUGGCUCAGGAUGAACGCUAGCUACAGGCUUAACACAUGCAAGUCAGGGGUAACAUGAUGGAGCUUGCUCCGAUUGAUGACGACCGGCGCACGGGUGAGUAACGCGUAUCCAACCUGCCCCAUGCUCAGGGAUAACCUUCCGAAAGGGAGCCUAAUACCUGAUGUUGUGCGACGAUGGCAUCAGAAUUGCACGAAAGAUUCAUCGGCAUGGGAUGGGGAUGCGUCUGAUUAGCUUGCCGGCGGGGUAACGGCCCACCGGGGCUACGAUCAGUAGGGUUCUGAGAGGAAGGUCCCCCACACAGGUACUGAGACACGGACCAGACUCCUACGGGAGGCAGCAGUGAGGAAUAUUGGUCAAUGGGCGGGAGCCUGAACCAGCCAAGUAGCGUUGCAGGAAGACGGCCCUACGGGUUGUAAACUGCUUUUAUGAGGGGAUAAAGUGGGCUACGUGUAGCUUAUUGCAGGUACCUCAUGAAUAAGGACCGGCUAAUUCCGUGCCAGCCGCCGC